This is a long non-coding RNA of Anolis carolinensis (green anole), 3268 nucleotides long. RefSeq lists it as uncharacterized. The record is from RefSeq and is a predicted model, not a curated record. The transcript has 3 exons. NCBI's taxonomy places the organism in Eukaryota, Metazoa, Chordata, Lepidosauria, Squamata, Anolidae.
GUAAAAUUGUAAAAUGACAGGCAAACAUUUAAAAUGAUUGAACCCAAGUCAUCAAAUUACAAUUAAAUUUAACCUAGCAGGCGAAAUAGACUAACCACAAUGACCUGGACUGAAAUUCUGCACUGGGAGAUGCACCCAUCUUGCCAUUGAAAUCUCACAGCCAUUUCCAAGGGACUGGAGAGCAUGGUGGUGUAUACGAAGACCCUUUUUUAAAAAUAUUUUAGCACAUAUAAGUAUCAGUGUGCUGUUGUGGAUUCUGUAAAGCGAGAACCUCCCUGACACCAAUUCAGCAAAGUAUACCAGAACUAAGACAUGAAAGGAACUGUGAGAUUACAUGAAAAGGAGCAUUAUGUUUAUCUCCAUGAAACAAAGAAGCCACAUAUUAGAAUUGCUCCUAAAUGAUAUAAAAUGAGAACCUCUUCUGAUAUGGUUCGGUCAUCGAAUGAAGCACUGCAUCGGUGUCCCAUCACUUCUGCAAGGGAAAUUGAUCACUCCUUUGUGAAAGGAUUGGUGUGAGUGUGAAUGGGUUGCCUUGUAGCUGAAUAAAAGUGACAUGCAUAGUGUUUAAACACAGAUCUGGUGUCACUGGUAUCUUCUUCAGAGCCUGUAGUCUCAAAGGAACAGAUUAUUCAGUUUCCACUCUUCUCCAAAGAAACAACACAACCUGUGUAUUUGUAACAUCUCCAUCUUGCUUGAUUCAUCGCUGCCAGCUCCCUAGUGAACCAAGGAGCUGGAUAGGCUCUGCUAAACGCGAUGGACCUCAUCCAGGGAAGGGAAGGAAGAAAAGACAAAAAGCAAGAAAGGAGAGAGGGAAGGGGGAGGAAAGAGGGAAAGAAGGAUGGUGAGAGAGGGGGGGGCUGAGAAAGGAGCCCAAGGGGCUGUAUCCGUCCCCUGGGCCUGGGUUUGCCCAUACUUGUUUUAGAGCAUAUAACUAUAUUUCUCUAAUGCCACCCUGCGAUUGGAGACAGGCUUCGUCAAAGUGGAGGCCAGAGUAUGGACCUCCAUUCUCGACUACUGGCUAUGCCUAUCCUUCUCCCCAUGUGGUCUUGCCCCUCUAACCAUGAAGGAUGACUUCCAGUCCACAUUGACUAAAACAGUGGCAGUAAAGAUCACAACACUAGGCUUCUCCCAAGGACAAUUGCUAAGCAUGAGAUUGGACUAAGCCAAGGAUCUCAUUAAACAACGGAUCUUGGACAUAGAGCACCAAUUGGACUUAACCUGCACCCCAGCCUUUAGUGUUCAUGAAGCUAACAGAUACCUCACCACCCCCACAGUGUACCUAACAAACCUGGAGGUGCCGAAACACCAAAGAGCUUUCACCCUGGCAAGAUGCCAUGCCCUCCCAUCGGCUGUAUUGGAGGGGAGAUAUUGAAAGACCCCCUUCAAGGAGAGAUUAUGCCCAUGUGAGUCCGGACACACAGAAACAACCAAACAUGUGCUCCUUUAAUGCAUGCUCUAUAGAGACAUUGGAACUGGUCUCAUCAUUCCAUGGCUUCUUAAAUACCCAAGGUUCACCAGAAAAUUUUAUACUGCCCUGCUGCUCUCAGACUCUAGUACUACAAUAACUUAGUGUUGCUAGGUUCUGUACUGCAGCACUUAAAAUUCGAAGGACUAUGAUCGGCCCCGCAGGGCGACACCCUGACGGAAGAGCAGCUACAGCAAGCUCUUGCAGCUGAGGUUUUGCUGGACUUAUAAUGUGCCCCUCCCUCUCCCCCUAGUGCCCCUUUAGUGUUUUGACCCUCUUAUCAGACUUUCCCCCUCCUUUAAUCCCAUAACUGCUUUGUUAAACAUGCCUUUAAACAGUACUGUUGUUUUUUUUGUUUUAAAAAAUCUGUUUUCUAAUCUCUUUUAUGAUUGCCUCCCUGGGAAACUGUGCCCCUCUCUGUGCUGAUCGUGGACCGUAAUAAAUUCUUGAUUUACUAUAACUAAAUUUGUGUUGUUUUUGUUAAUGUAUUAAAUGGAAUUAUAUGUGUAAUACCACUCAAUAAAGAAGACCAGCUCUCAUAGUAGCUUUUUAAAACAAGUCAAGGAAAACACCAUCUAUCCGCUGGUGGAGCUUUGUCUCAUAUUCAUGCAGUAGUGUCAUUAAUACUAUAGGGAUUUCAUCUGGUUCCCAAGAACCAAUGGCUCAAGAAAUCAUAUUCAUUUUCUCACUCUCAACACACUGUGUUAUCUAAAUUAAGGAUAGUAAGACUUCACAGAAUGCUAGAUCUCAUGCGCUAUAUACUCAUUACAUUCAAGCAUGGUUUGUCAGUGAAGAAAAUCAAUUCUAGAACAGGAGAGAAGUGGGCAUUUAAACUGACUAAAGGACUAAUUAACACAGUGAUAGUUGAGGAAAUCAUUAACAGAGGUGAUAGUGACCUUCAGUAGCCUUGAGCAGAAGCUUUUACACAGCUCUAAAGAAGUCUGCAUUCCCAAGGAGUCUUAAAGGUAUGAGUCAUAGUCUGCCUGCCAGUAAUAGAUUUUUAACUAGUACAACUGGAAACAUUGGUCUUCUGAACUUGAUUUGCAAUUAAAUAUUUAAUAGUAUUUCAGUUCAGUAAAGGGAAAUAAAAUUAAGAGGGGAGUGAGCACCAUUAAAAAAUACAACACUGAGGGGAAAUGUAGUUCACAUAUAACUGGACCAGAUAACAGGGUUGAAAGGAAAAAACUACUGAAAGAAAUGCCCAAUACUGAUCAGAAAACAUGUUAUAUAAUUCUAUAUACAAUUCAUUUCUUAAAAGCCUUUUUCAGUUAAGUGGCGUACUUGGCUGACCAUUGGCCAUUCAAAUUAGUUGGGUAAAAAUAAUCAUGUAGAUCUGUUUCAGCUUCAUUCAGAUCUUUUCAAGAGCCAGGAGAAUGCAGCAUUGAUAUUACUAUAGAAUAAGGGUACCAAAGGCAAUGCUAAACUUCAAACUCUUUUGUAUCUGAAAUUAUGCUCUUCCUGUGAUCUGUCACAUUUCUGUGUUCUGAAAUGAUGUUCUCCUGUCCUUCUUUCUGAACAAAAGCUGUUAUGAACAGUUGAUUGUUCUUAGCAGCUGUCCAACAUUUAUGAAACAUUCUUUCUUGCCCUGGUGACUCACUGACUUUCAAGCUUGAAGAUUCUCAACUAAGAAAAAGUUGAAAAAUUUGGACAUAUAUAUAUUAUAUAUACGUUUUUAAGGUUUUUAUAAUGUGUUUUAACCAUGUUAUUAACAGAUCUGUUUAUAUUGUUUUGUUUUUAUGAUUGCAAUUUGGGCAUUAAAUUUUGCCAAUUUUUGUAAGCCGCUCUGAGUCCCCUCGGGUGAGA